AGCGAACGUUAGCGGCGCGCCUAACACGUGCAAGUCGCACGAGAAAGGGAGCAAUCCCCGGUACAGUGGCGCACGGGUGAGUAACACGUAGAUGACCUUCCCUGGAGUGGUGGAUAACCUGCCGAAAGGCGGGCUAAUACAGCAUGGGACCACAUGGUUUUGACCGAGUGGUGAAAGCGGGCCUCUGUUCACAAGCUCGCGCUCUGGGAUGGGUCUGCGUCCCAUCAGCUAGUUGGUGAGGUAAUGGCUCACCAAGGCAUCGACGGGUAGCUGGUCUGAGAGGAUGACCAGCCACACUGGAACUGAGACACGGUCCAGACUCCUACGGGAGGCAGCAGUGGGGAAUCUUGCGCAAUGGGCGAAAGCCUGACGCAGCGACGCCGCGUGGGUGAUGAAGGCCU
This 401-nucleotide ribosomal RNA is filed under the name uncultured bacterium. RNAcentral's name for it is "bacterial SSU rRNA". It matches the Rfam family "Bacterial small subunit ribosomal RNA", at positions 29 to 417 of the family's 1533-position model. The record is from RNAcentral.